GCCAGUUCAGGAUGAAACCUAUCUGAGUGGACAUCUGUGGAUGAUAAAUGCGGAUAUGGGACUGAGACUGGCU
Suncus etruscus (white-toothed pygmy shrew) is the source of this 73-nucleotide small nucleolar RNA. RefSeq annotates it as small nucleolar RNA SNORD99. The transcript has a single exon. NCBI's taxonomy places the organism in Eukaryota, Metazoa, Chordata, Mammalia, Eulipotyphla, Soricidae. The record is from RefSeq and is a predicted model, not a curated record.